Dromiciops gliroides (monito del monte) is the source of this 8587-nucleotide RNA transcript. It is a transcript of the gene named peroxisomal biogenesis factor 5 like, with no coding region annotated. The transcript is spliced from 17 exons. The record is from RefSeq and is a predicted model, not a curated record. Lineage: Eukaryota; Metazoa; Chordata; Mammalia; Microbiotheria; Microbiotheriidae.
UUGUUCAGCCCUUCAGCUCCCAAAGCCCACACAGUGUUGUGGAAGUUAGGGGUUUGGUUGGGGUCGAGGAGAGGUUCUUUUUUCUUGUUUUCUUUUUUGGUGAAUGUUAGAAGAAUCUAGCUAGAAGACAAGGGCUCCCAGCUGGGGAGAGCUAGUCCAGUUGAAGAACUGGCUGGGUUGGCCGAUCCAGCUGUCCAAGUACGAAGCUAAGUGCUUGAAAGAGGAUUGUUGCUGCACUAGAAUAAACAUGGCCUGCCCCCAUCCCCAAUGACUACUUGCCCAGAUUGGAGACUGCUUCAGGGAUGCUCCAGUCCUUGAUGCAUGUUCUAAAUGUCAUCGCUGUGCCAGAUUUGGGGUCUUAUGGUGCCAAACCUUGGCAAUGAAGCCACAGUUCAGUUGGUGCAAGGAAUUCUGGGAUGUCUGAAAGUGACAUGAGUGGAAGGACUCACGUCCCAUCUCUCUUUAAUGCCCUAUUGUCCCGAAAACUGGCCCUACAAGUCAGCUACUUGAAAAGUAAAGAAAAAGGAUAUGGAAAACUAAGCAGUGAUGAAGACAUCGAAGUAAUUGUUGAUCAAAACCAGGGGAAAAGCUCUAGGGCAGCCGAUAAGGCUGUUGCCAUGGUGAUGAAGGAGAUACCGAGGGAGGAGUCUGCUGAAGAAAAGCCCCUCCUUACUAUGACAUCACAGCUGGUGAAUGAGCAGCAAGAAAGCAGACCCCUCCUAAGCCCUUCCAUCGAUGACUUUCUCUGUGAAACCAAAGCAGAAGCAAUUGCCAGGCCAGUAACAUCAAAUACAGCAGUAUUAUCAACAGGUUUAGAUCUCUUGGACCUGAGUGAUCCUGUGUCCCAAACCCAAAACAAAACAAAGAAGCUAGAGGCUACGCCAAAGGCCUCGAGCCACAAGAAGAAGGCUGAUGGUUCUGACCUUAUCAGCGCUGAUGCGGAACAGAGAGGCCAGCCUCUGAGAAUCCCAGAGACAUCAUCGUUAGAUUUAGUAGAUAUUCAAACACAACUGGAUAAAUGGGAUGAAGUUAAGUUUCAUGGAGACAGGAACAGCAAGGGCCAUGCCAUGGCAGAGAGCAAGUCAACAUCAUCCAGGACUGGAUCAAAAGAACUUUUAUGGUCUUCGGAGAGUAGAUCUCAGCCAGAAUUGACUAGCGGAAAAAGUGCCCUCAAUUCUGACUCAGCUCCAGAUUUAGACUUAGUGCCUCCAGCACAGGCUCGACUCACCAAAGAACAGCGCUGGGGAAGUGCACUACUCUCCAGAAACCAUUCCUUAGAAGAGGAAUUUGAGAGGGCAAAAGCAGCAGUGGAGUCAGAUACAGAGUUUUGGGAUAAGAUGCAAGCAGAAUGGGAAGAAAUGGCUCGAAGGAACUGGAUAUCUGAGAACCAAGAAGCCCAAAAUCAAGUGACAAUUUCAGCUAGUGAGAAGGGGUACUACUUUCACACAGAAAAUCCCUUCAAAGACUGGCCUGGAGCUUUUGAAGAAGGAUUGAAAAGGCUGAAGGAAGGGGACUUGCCUGUCACUAUACUGUUCAUGGAGGCAGCAAUUCUUCAAGACCCUGGGGAUGCUGAGGCCUGGCAGUUUCUGGGUGUAACCCAGGCAGAGAAUGAAAAUGAGCAAGCUGCUAUCGUCGCCCUCCAAAGAUGCUUAGAAUUACAGCCCAACAACCUGAAGGCUCUAAUGGCUUUGGCUGUGAGUUACACCAACACUGGCCAUCAACAAGAUGCUUGCAGCGCUCUGAAGAACUGGAUUAAACAAAAUCCUAAAUAUAAAUAUUUAGUGAAGAACAAAAAGGCAUCUCCAGGCCCAACCCGAAGGAUGUCCAAGUCACCAGUUGAUAGUUCAGUCCUGGAAGGAGUUAAGGAGCUGUACCUGGAGGCUGCCCACCAGAAUGGAGAGAUGAUCGACCCUGACCUGCAGACCGGCCUGGGGGUGCUAUUCCACUUGAGUGGAGAAUUCAGUAGAGCAAUAGAUGCAUUUAAUGCUGCCUUAACAGUUCGGCCAGAGGACUAUUCAUUAUGGAACCGUCUUGGUGCCACAUUGGCCAAUGGAGACCGCAGUGAGGAAGCCGUUGAAGCCUAUACCCGAGCUCUAGAAAUCCAGCCUGGCUUCAUCCGGUCCAGAUACAACCUGGGAAUCAGCUGCAUCAACCUGGGGGCUUACAGGGAGGCAGUCAGCAAUUUCCUCACUGCCCUGAGUUUGCAAAGAAAGAGUAGGAACCAACAACAAGUUCCUCAUCCAGCUAUUUCUGGCAAUAUCUGGGCUGCCCUCAGGAUUGCUCUCUCCAUGAUGGACCAGCCAGAGCUAUUCCAGGCAGCUAACCUUGGGGACUUGGAUGUUCUACUAAGAGCUUUCAACCUGGAUCCAUGAGGCAGAGAUGAUCCCGCCACCCACCCAGGCCACUGGAAAAAAAAUAACGAAAAGGUCAUGCAAAUUGCAAAAACUAUUUUAUUAUGAAUUUCAAAAGGAGAAAUCAGAUGUCCAAAAGACCACAGACAUGCAACCCAAGGGGACCCCUCCCAACGCUGCCCAAUUUCUGUCCGAGUUCAAAAGCACAAAACAUUGUACAUAGUAUCAAGUUUGGAUUCAAAACAAGGCUAGAAAGAAAGGAGACCAAUUGAGAAGAAAAUGAACAGUAGAUGAACAGUGGCUUUCACACACAAAGAGUGUGUCAUAAGACAGAGAUGCCAGCUUUAAGGCAGCUGACCAUUUGUCCAAGGGCCUAUCCCUUUAAGUGAUCAGACCCAUAGAGAAGAAAGCCCUGCAUUGGACCAUGGAAUACAGACUCGGUCUCUUGCUGGGUUUCCCACAAUCCCUCUUCCCUAGGACACAAUCCAGCUCAGACCACAGGGCAUGUACACUGUGUGGGUUGGCCUGGUGGGAAAGCUGGGCAGCAUUCUCUAGGAUUGGUUUCCUUUGGAGCAUUCACAGUUGCUGUUUGAUUUCAGAGAGUUGGCUUUGCAGGCAAAAGCAAGCUUUCUGUAUUAAGCUUUUUUUCUUUUCUGCUCCUAGCCCUGAUUGAGGCAGGAGCAGGAGGGUGGGAUGGGGGAGGGGGGAGUAAAACUGUACAUAUGCACUUUAAUAUCUUAUCAUUUAUGCCUUGAGAGGCUCUUGGGUUGUUUCUCCACUUUUAAACCUGAGAGUGAAAGGUUGCAGAACACAGCCACGGUUGUUCACUCAGUGGACCAAAUAUUCAUUUUUGACAAUUGUUCCCAUGGUAUAGGGUUUGACAAAGAAUUUUUCUUAAAGCAGACAUAAAAGGCUGAAGGCUUUCUUAUUGAGGUAAUUUCAAAACAUACACAACCCAGAUGUACAGAGCUUUAUUCCUUCAAGUACCUUUGACUGACUGGGGCAUGGCUCUGGGGAGCAAGGGGCUGGUUUGCUAGUGCUGAACUCAUGAUUGUUCUUUUGUUGUGUCUUUAUUUUUGGAGGGGUGGGGUAAGUGUUGGUGCAAUUCUGUACAAGAAUUCCCUGGUGAGGGAUCUCCUUUCACCAACGCAGGUGGGCAAAUGCUCUGCAUCUUAGAAUCUUAGAUAGUUACCUGGGAGGUGCUUGGAGGUUAAAUGACUUGCACAGAGUUACACAGCCAGUAUGAAUCAGUGACUGAACUUGAACCCAAGUCUUCCUGACUCCAAGUCUGGCUCUCUGUUCAUUAUGCUAUUCUAUUUCUCAUAAUGUUGCAUCUAAAUGGCAUCACUGAUCUCCUUUGCUUCCCUGAAUAUCAAUGGUCAUUUUUAACUAUUAGUAUUUUCAAUGACAUAGCCUCGAUAAAUACAUUUCUUAAAACUAAAACUAAGAGAAUUGGUUCGCUUCCACCCUGCUGGUGCUGCUCCCUGCCCCCACAGUGCAUUCUGAAAUUGAGUGAGGUGCCAGCUUGUCUACACAGCUCACAGACUUCUCCAGCCAAAUCGGCAGAUAAACUUGAACAUUCAUCCCUUGACUUUGGCCCGGAUUUUGGCAAGUUGCCCAAGUAUCGAAAGUGUCCCUGAGACUUCUCGUUUACUGUGGAGAGGUUUCAUUUAAUUACUAACCACUGUGGUUCCAUGAUCAUGGAAUGCAUUCAGCUCCCUAAAGUCUGGUUGGAUUCAAUUGGUUGCUUAAUUGGUUGGUUGGAGUUUUUUGUUUUGUUUUAUGAAAAGUCAGAAGAAAUUUGGGAGGGAAUGUUCUAGAAAAACAUGCCUUCAUGUUUCCCACAGGUUUAUUUGUUUCUUCCUCUGGCCCUGGCUUCACACUACUGCCACCACCCACCCCCCAAAAAAACAAAACUAUAGUAGCUUUUUCCUUAUUUGUUCUGUCAAAUUCAGCUCAUGGUUAUCAAAUCACACCAAAAGGAGCUACUUAAAACAAUUCAAGAAAUCCACAGUAUGAGGUUCAUGGGACCAUUUUGUUUCAUCACCCCAUUUUACAUAUGAAGAAACUGGGGCUAAGAGAGAAGAAGCGAUUCACCCAGGUUCAAAUAGUAGUAAAGAGCAGGGCCGGGGUUCAAACCCAAGUCUUCCAAUACCAAAUACAGCAUACAGAAAUAAAAAGAGCUGCAUGCCCCAGUCCCAGGUAGCAAGCCUCUCUAACUGUUGCAUAUUGCCUUAGGUUGGGUGAAUGGUUGAGAAGAAAAAAAGGAUUUAAUGUGAAUACGAAACACCAGAUCAUGGGAUCAUAGCUAUAAAGAUGGAAGAGGAUUUAAAAGUCAUCUAAUCCAACCACUUCAUUCUAAGAUAAGGCCCAGAGAAAUUAAAUUACUUGUCCAAGGUCACACUGAUUAUAAGUGACCAGAGCUGUGAUUUGAACCCAGGUCCCCCGACUCCAAAUUCAUCACUCUUUUCACUGCUCAUGGCAGACGUGAAACAAUCUCAUAUAUUUUUUGAAUGGGAAUUAAGUGGAGAGUGAGGAUGAGAGGAAAGGCAGUUUACCAGUUCUUACACACUGAUAAAUGUGGUCCCAAAAGCCCCUACCAGCUUAAAAUCUAUGGAACCUUUUCUGGAAAUUGACGUACAUUUUUCUAAAGGUAAAAUAUGGAAGCCAGCAAACUAGUCAAGGGCACCGUCACCUGGAAGGAAGCAAUUUGUGAUUUCAGACUUGACUACAACAUGCAGAACCAUGUGUGAUGUCAGGCCAGUGACAUAGAUCACUUCUGUUGCACCUGAAAGGAAGGCAAAAUCUUGUCGACCACGGAACUCUUUUAAGACUAUGAACAAUUCUUUCCAUCCUGUUGGACUCCUUUCAUAAAGGCCCAUUGGCGAUACCUGAAUUUCCUUAAGGCAUGGCAGCAUCUGAACCAUGCUUUACUGGGAGCACAUCCACUUAGCUGAUUUUGCACAGUUUUGUCUUCCUUUAUGGAAGGGGAAAAUCUCAUCCUGCUUCAUGCUGCCCUGUUUGGCCAAUGGGGUCAAAUAGAUUUCCUUGCAUCCCCACCCUAACCAAUGAGAUUGGACUAUAAUCCUGGCUGGCCCUGCCCCAGCUAGGAGGAAUGGACACAGUAUCUAGCCUCAGCUUGACUGCUUCUUUGGGAAUAGCAGAGUCAAAGUAGAUUUCACCUUUCUCCUCCCCUAUUAAUUGCAUAUCCCCUCCCUUUGUGGUCAGCACCAUGGGACCAGAUGGAAUUCUGUGUAAGUUGUUCUUUUUUUGUUUUCCUCCUACUUGGCAUAUAUCAUAAUGAUUCUAGAGAUUUUUGGAAAACAGGGUACUCUGAAUGCUGGGUGGGCUCAUGUCCACUUGCUUAGAAGGCCUUUCAUUUCCUAAACCAUAACAUAAAUGUGCAAGCAUGCACAUAGACAUCUACAUACAAUUUCGACUUUGUAAAAUAUUUUCAAUUCCAUCCCCUUGUCCUAAAUUUACUAUGAUACAGUUUCCCUGUCAUCACAGUAUUUAUACUCCAGCUAAAAUGAGACUAACAUUUUGAACUAAUAAAUCUAUAUAAUCUAUAUUUUUAAAGAAUGUUCGUAGAUGGACUAUGACAUAAGGUUUCUAACAAAAGGAAUUUUUGACAAUAAAGCAUAUAACCUCAGGUACCAAAAUAUUGCAUGCAUUAGUAUUUGCACACCAACCUACUCGCAUAUUAACCAAAGCAUGCAAGGUAACUUAACUGAGCUGAAUGUAAAUUUACAAAGUGCAUGAUGUCAAUUUCUAGGUUAGUUCAUUUUUUUCACCUCACUCCUAAACCAGGUCAUUAGGAGACAUUGGCAUAAGCACCGUGUCAUCUCUUACACGUUUGCUUUCCAUGUAAGAAUACCCUUGGGAGGGUUUCACAAUGGUCCACUCACACUGGCCUACAUGGGUCACUGUGUCACAUCUGGUUUCUCAGUGUUGCAGCUAGGGCCAGUCAGGUUCUCGAGGGGUUUAGACAUGUAUAGACCUCUGGCAAUGGCCUCUAGACACAUCAGAAAUCAAACCAGAAUCUCUGAUGAAUUUGAAUGCUACCAGAUACCCAACCUCACUGGCAGCCACAGUCCAGAAUUCUCCAGGCCUGGAACAUCUGAGUCCAUUUCCACUUCUGAGAGGUUAUGUACUGUUAGAAUGGUAUUCUCAGGGUCUUCCUGAGUAAUGUAAUUCCUCACCAGGUGGAGAGGUUGGGGCUUGGGGACCACAGAUGAAAAUUGUCACCAGAUAAUGAGGACUUCUCAUUUCUAUGACAUCUUCCAGAUGGAUUAUAGGGGCUGUCCCACCAUCUACUGUUCCCUGGAUUUGGUUGUUAUAGAGACUGGCUUCUUAGACUCAUGCUCAUAUAAGAAAUAUUGUAUAUGUCAAGUGCUCUGCCAACCUUUAUGCAUUCUAGAAAUGUUAGCUCAUAUUAACUGUGUCUAUGAGCCCCUGGUGACUGGCCUUUUUUCAGAAUGUCUGAAAACAGUGAAUUCCAGAAGAGACAAGGAGAAUUGAGCCUUCUCUUCCCCACCACUGUUCAUCAUGUUAAUUCCUAUCUGUUUCACAUAUAAAGCACCACCAAGUGUACCCUCUGCAUGAAGGAACAAGCUAUUUACCAGCUACCAAAUAGAUACAGUAAUGCCCAGUGCAAGGGAACUCAAGGAUUUAAACAUUGAUUAUAACCUUACAAGUGUCCCACCACCAAACAUGUUUUCUCCUCCCAAUUAAGGAUUAAAAGUUAAAAAAACUAUUUUUUAAGUUGUCCGUGAUGGGAUUAAAUCUAUUUAAUCAAAAAUUAAGAUACAAAAUUCAGAAAAGAACAGGAGGUACAUAGCCAAUGAUCUUUUGGUGUUUUGCCUUAAACAAAGCUUUCGGUAUCUUCUUGAUGUAACAUAAUAUGGGAAGAAACAUCUGAAAGAAAAGUGCUUGUGCCCCAAUAGAUCAUAAGCUCUUUGAGGACAGGAUCUGUUUUUCAUUUUUUUUGUCUUUCUGCCCCUGGUGCCUAGCAUAGUGCCUGGCACAGUGCUUAAUAAAUGCUUGUCGAAUUGAAUUGUCAUUAGGACUAUUUCCUAGGGAGCUUCUUCAAGAGACAAAGCAACCGACUUGGCUUUUAGUCCAUGUCUCAGAAAGAAUCUGGAAGUCUCAGUAGAUCACCACACAAAUCUGCACACAAAAUUGCAUCACAAAUAUAAAGAAAUAGUUGGCUGAGAAAGAUCGAUGCCUAUAUAAUAAAACAUGAAUUUUUCUCCCUUCCCUUUGACUUUCUUCAGUGGGAUGAAUGCACAAUGAAGAGAAAACAUAGGGGAUAUACAUACUCACCUUGUCAUUUUGGGAAUUGGAGCCAGGGAGCACAUAUCCCUAAGAUCUCACAUGUUCUCUGAAUGGGUAACCUUGUGGUUCUGUAUUGUAUGAGAAUACCAGAGAGUGGAAACAGGACUCUAAGAAUGGCCAGAAAACACAAAGAACCAAAAGGGUCCUUGAUUUCCUUCCGCUUAUCUCCCUUGUCCUUAAGACCCCAAAACUCUUCAUUCUCCAUCACCAGAAUUUGUUUACAUUGGUUGGGAGGGGGGGUGGAAAACCAAUUGUCCAAUUUAGGCACCUUUUUACUACCUAUAACAAGCAUUUAUUACACAUUUAGAAAGAACAAGAUAUUUCUAAUAUAUUUUGUAUAUCUAUCAAUAUUGCCUCUCUAGACUAAUCAACAAAUAUCUAGUUUUGAAAGACAUGCUGCUGCCUCUGCUGCUUCUCCCUCAUGCUCAAGAACGUGGGAACAUACUUCUUGUACCAGCUUUGGGCUCUGGUUUUAUGCCCACACAUAUAGCAAAGGAAAAAGUGACAUCUAAUUGUUUACAUUCAGUUUCUAACAUGAAUAUGGACCCCAAAUUAGGGAUCUCUAAGUCAACUUAAGAAAUAUGGAGGGCUAAAGGCAACUCCUUCUUCAUCCUAGGUGAUCCUGCAUCUGUAUAUUUCAUGCAAUAUUAAUUAUAUAGAUGAGCCCAGAUCUGUGGCAAGUGAAUACCACUCUUUAAGAUACAAUUACUCACAAGAAAAAUGACCUGUUUCUCUAUGUGUCUCAUUUACUCAUUUGCAAAGCACUAAUGCUCAUGUAGUAUUUUUGUACUAUUAUCAGAGGCAUGCCUUCCUCUUCUUUUUUUCAACAUUAUUAAAUGGUAUUUAUAUCUGUGUGAUUUUUAAGUAUGUUUUCAAAUAAACUUUAUCUGUGGCUUCAA